This 425-nucleotide ribosomal RNA is filed under the name uncultured bacterium. RNAcentral's name for it is "bacterial SSU rRNA". It matches the Rfam family "Bacterial small subunit ribosomal RNA", at positions 356 to 773 of the family's 1533-position model. The record is from RNAcentral.
GGGGAAUAUUGCACAAUGGGCGAAAGUCUGACGGAGCAACGCCGCGUGAGCGAUGAAGGCCUUCGGGUCGUAAAGCUCUGUUGUCAGGGAAGAACAAGUAUCGGAGUAACUGCCGGUACCUUGACGGUACCUGACCAGAAAGCCACGGCUAACUACGCGCCAGCAGCCGCGGUAAUACGUAGGUGGCAAGCGUUGUCCGGAAUUAUUGGGCGUAAAGCGCGCGCAGGCGGUCCUUUAAGUCUGAUGUGAAAGCCCACGGCUCAACCGUGGAGGGUCAUUGGAAACUGGGGGACUUGAGUGCAGAAGAGGAAAGCGGAAUUCCACGUGUAGCGGUGAAAUGCGUAGAGAUGUGGAGGAACACCAGUGGCGAAGGCGGCUUUCUGGUCUGUAACUGACGCUGAGGCGCGAAAGCGUGGGGAGCAAAC